GGGGACACAAGAGUUGCAGGCGUGGCAGGAUCUGUGAGCAUGGCAGGAGCUGCAGCUGAGGCAGGAGGCUCCAGGUGAGGAAGGAGCUGCAGGUGUGUCUGAGGCAGGGGCCCCAGAGGAGGCAGGAACUGCCGGUGAGGCAGUCACUGCCGGUGAGGAUGGAGCUGAAGAUGUGGCAGGAGCCCCAGUUGAGAGGGAAGCUGCCGGUGAGGAGGAAGUUGGAGAUGUGGCAAGAGCUGCAGGUGAGGAAGAAGCCACAGGUGAGGAAGACUCUGAGAGUGAGGAGGAAGCUGAGGGCGAGGCAGGAGCUGAAGAGGAAGCAGGAUCGUCAGAUGAAGAGGGAGCUGCAGGGGACACAGGAGUUGCAGGCAUGGUGGCAUCUGUGAGCAUGGCAGGAGCUGCAGGUGAGGCGGGAGCUGCAGGUGAGGAGGAAGUUGGAGAUGUGGCAAGAGCUGCAGGUGAGGAAGAAGCCACAGGUGAGGAAGCUGAGAGUGAGGAGGAAGCUGAGGGUGAGGCAGGAGCUGGAGAGGAAGCAGGAGCGUCAGAUGAAGAGGGAGCUGCCGGGGACACAGGAGUUGCAGGCGUGGCAGGAUCUGUGAGCAUGGCAGGAGCUGCAGCUGAGGCAGAGGCUCCAGGUGAGGAAGAAGCCACAGGUGAGGAAGAAGCUGAGAGUGAGGAGGAAGCUGAGGGCGAGGCAGGAGCUGAAGAGGAAGCAGGAUCGUCAGAUGAAGAGGGAGCUGCAGGGGACACAGGAGUUGCAGGCAUGGUGGCAUCUGUGAGCAUGGCAGGAGCUGCAGGUGAGGCGGGAGCUGCAGGUGAGGAGGAAGUUGGAGAUGUGGCAAGAGCUGUGGGUGAGGAAGAAGCCACAGGUGAGGCAGGAGCCCCAAGUGAGGAAGAAGCCGCAGGUGAGGACAAAGC
This 918-nucleotide long non-coding RNA is filed under the name Equus asinus (donkey). RNAcentral's name for it is "lncRNA (ENSEASG00005028375.1)". Lineage: Eukaryota; Metazoa; Chordata; Mammalia; Perissodactyla; Equidae. The record is from RNAcentral.